Molecule: ribosomal RNA, 406 nt
Filed under: uncultured bacterium
Lineage: Bacteria
Description: partial 16S ribosomal RNA
Rfam family: Bacterial small subunit ribosomal RNA
Source: RNAcentral
AUUGAACGCUGGCGGCAGGCCUAACACAUGCAAGUCGAACGCGUGGCGGACGGGUGCGUAAUGUAUGGGAAACCGCCUGAUGGAGGGGUAUAACUACUGGCAACGGUAGAUAAUCACACAUACCAUCGGAUGUGCCCAGAUGGGGUUCGCUAGUAGGUGGGGUAAAGGCUCACCUAGGCGACGCUCCCUAGCUGGGAUGAGAGGAGAACCAGCCACACUGGAACUGAGACACGGUACAGACUCCUACGGGAGGCAGCAGUGGGGAAUAUUGCACAAUUGGCGCAAGCCUGAUGCAGCCAUGCCGCGUGUAUGAAGAAGGCCUUCGGGUUGUAAAGUACUUUCAGCGGGGAGGCGUUACCCGCAGAAGAAGCACCGGCUAACUCCGUGCCAGCAGCCGCGGUAAUUC